CAGCCGCCGCGGUAAUACGAAGGGUGCAAGCGUUACUCGGAAUUACUGGGCGUAAAGCGUGCGUAGGUGGUGGUUUAAGUCCGUUGUGAAAGCCCUGGGCUCAACCUGGGAAUUGCAGUGGAUACUGGGUCACUAGAGUGUGGUAGAGGAUAGUGGAAUUUCCGGUGUAGCAGUGAAAUGCGUAGAGAUCGGAAGGAACAUCUGUGGCGAAGGCGACUAUCUGGGCCAACACUGACACUGAGGCACGAAAGCGUAGGGAGCAAACAGGAUUAGAUACCCCUGUAGUCCCUGUCUCUUAUAC
Molecule: ribosomal RNA, 301 nt
Filed under: uncultured bacterium
Lineage: Bacteria
Description: partial 16S ribosomal RNA
Rfam family: Bacterial small subunit ribosomal RNA
Source: RNAcentral